RNAcentral lists this ribosomal RNA (441 nucleotides) under uncultured bacterium. RNAcentral's name for it is "bacterial SSU rRNA". It matches the Rfam family "Bacterial small subunit ribosomal RNA", at positions 958 to 1397 of the family's 1533-position model. The record is from RNAcentral.
AACGCGAAGAACCUUACCUGGCCUUGACAUGUAUGUAGUAGAAGGAUGAAAGUCUGACGAGGUAGCAAUACCAGCAUACACAGGUGCUGCAUGGCUGUCGUCAGCUCGUGUCGUGAGAUGUUGGGUUAAGUCCCGCAACGAGCGCAACCCUCGCCCUUAGUUGCCAUCAUUUAGUUGGGCACUCUAAGGGGACUGCCGGUGAUAAGCCGCGAGGAAGGUGGGGAUGACGUCAAGUCCUCAUGGCCCUUACGGGCUGGGCUACACACGUGCUACAAUGGCGGUGACAAUGGGACGCAAUGGGGCAACCCUGCGCAAAUCUCAAAAAGCCGUCUCAGUUCGGAUUGUGCUCUGCAACUCGAGCACAUGAAGUUGGAAUCGCUAGUAAUCGCAGAUCAGCACGCUGCGGUGAAUACGUUCCCGGGCCUUGUACACACCGGCUAC